This 266-nucleotide long non-coding RNA is filed under the name Capsicum annuum. Its description in RNAcentral is "long non-coding RNA (CANN_LNC009802)". Lineage: Eukaryota; Viridiplantae; Streptophyta; Magnoliopsida; Solanales; Solanaceae. The record is from RNAcentral.
AUCUUAUUCUUCUUCUUCAUUACAUAUACUACUACUGUUAGAAGGAAACCCCCCUCUCCGUGGAGAAGUCAUUAAUGGAGAAGAAGAUAUGGAGAAGAUGAUGGCUAUUUCUUUUUCUUUUUUUAAAUUUCUUUAAUGUGGUUUUUGUUUUAUUGGUUGAGGUUUUUUAUAUGUGAAUGAUUUUUAAAGAAACCAUUAAUGGAGAAGAAGAUGAUGGGUAUUUUUUUUUCUUAAUUUCUUUAAUGUAUUUUUUUAAUUGGUUGGAG